This is a long non-coding RNA of Equus asinus (donkey), 3463 nucleotides long. The record is from Ensembl. Lineage: Eukaryota; Metazoa; Chordata; Mammalia; Perissodactyla; Equidae.
AAGCUGGUUGUAGAGGUGGCAGCUGAUCAAGCCAUGGGCAGGCGGGAUCCACUGCCUGAGUUGUAACUAGAGACUCCCCCGCAGUGUGGGGCUUGGCGAUGGGGCCACAGGCAGCAGGCAGCACCAGGCAGCCAGGCAAGCAGACAGCUGUGGCGGGCUCUGUGAGGAAGGGCAGGCCGUCCUCCCAAGAGGAGGAGCAGGUUGGCUGCAGGGCGUGAGUUGCUAGCAAUGAUUAAUUUAUUCCUUACUGGAUUUGUCAGGUGUCAGGGCCUAGGCACUGGCUGGGUGGCUGGGGAGGUGCCGAGGAUGAGAGGCUGCAGCAGGGGGGCUGGGUGACAGGGCCUCUGGGUGAGGCCCCUGGCCUGGAUGAGAUAAGGGGGCACCAAGCAGGAUGUCUUAACAGGAAGAAAACUCCCAUCAUAGCAGCCCUUAAGUGCACACGAAUCACCAGGGAUCUCUUUAAAAUGCAGAUUCACAUACGGCAGACCCAGGGUAGGGCAGGAGAGUCUGCAUUUCUAAAAAGUUCCCAGGUGAUGCCGAUGCUGCUGUUCCACGCCACACUUUGGCAGCAAGAUGAGGGAAAAGGGGAUUAAUUGUCAGCAUUCAGGGGAAGCUCACGACAUUCAAUAGCAGGAACUGGAAACCUGCAAGCUGUCAGCAGUGACAGCUUCUCUCUCUGGAGCCACAUGGUCUCUUGUCUGCACAUCUGCUCUCUUCUCCUCUCUAGCCUGGCUUCCUCUGCAAGCCUUUGUAACUUGGCUCGCCCUUGGCUGUCUUUACCACUGCCAGGACCCUGACCCCAACCUUAUGGCUCCAGCUCCUAACUCUGUCAGGCUAUAGUUUUUCUGGUCUCUUCUGACUUUUUUCUCUCUCAAGAUUCUGAUUGGCUCGGCUGGUCAGGUGUCCAUACUUGGUCCAAGAAGCUGUGCUAAGGGGCCAACAAGUAGGGCUGCUCAGGUGCUUUCAAUGGCGUCAUGGAACGCCCCCCCCCCCCCCCCCCCCCAUGGGUAGCCUCAGUCAGAUGGAUGGAGAGAAAUGCAGCCUUGAGGAACUGUUUUAAACACGUGUGAUCAGAAACUCUAGAAAAAAAGAAUUUCAGCAUAUAUUUUGGCUACUUUCCAAAAUGUGAGUUUAUUUGGAAUUAUUUCUAGAACUAGGUGGGUGGGCACCAAAAUCUUUUUCUUGUUUAAAGCCCUGGAAGGAGCGAGGGUUUGACAGGAGCCCCAAACAUGCCUCCAAGAGAAGAGGCCAGGGGGAGUGUCGCGAUGAAGGCCCUGUGGCUUGAGACAAAUGAGAAGAGAGGGAGAGAGCUGAGACGCGGGCUGUUCGCUUGGUGGUUCCUCAGUCGCCAGGGCAGCCUGACUGUGAAGGAGCUGCUGCAGCUCGCGGGAGCCCAGGAACAGUGACCCCGCCCUCGGAUCCCAGGUGCACGAGGCUGGCUGAGAUUUCAACGACAGUAGUCAGGUCUGCACAUGGGGAAAGGUCACGGCUCAUAAUAGCUUGGAUUGUUCAACCUAGACAUGUGCGGAUUAGGAAACAAGACGCAGAGAGACUCCGACCCGCUCAAGGUGAAAGUUCCACUUGGUGGCUGAGCCAGCCAAGGAUGCCUGCGUCCUGACAUCCAGCCCUGAGCUCUUCUGAAGAUGAGGGGACUCUUAAGAAUACACAAUACUUCCAGGCUUUUUGUUCCGACAGAAGUAAGUUUGCAAAGCAGUUGCGGAGGACUCUCUGAAGAAGGGCAAACAGUCCCCGAGGGGGUGGAGCUGCUGGCUCCAGGAGCUCUGUUGCCAGCAAGUAUUAAUUCACUCCGGCUGGCGCUGUCUUGGGGGCCUCCCGCGCACAAUAGCAUUAAGAGUGUUGGCAGCUGCGGAGGGAGAAGGCCCGCUCCACCUGGGAAUGAGGAAGAUGUGACUCCUCGCAAGGUUGCUCUCCUCCCAGCUCCCGCUCUUGGGAGAGAUGAUCAGUGCUUACGGGCCUGGGAGCAGGCUGCUGAGGACACAGUGUUCCCGGGGAUGGUGGCAGAUCUUGGAGAAGGGACAGAAGCUGGGCCAAGAGACUGGAACUUAUGCAAAUCAGGCCUGAGGAUGGUUCAAGGAGGGGGCAGCCCCUGCCUUAUGCCUCCCCGUCAGCAUACCCAGAACCAGACUCCUCAGGAGGAACAUCUUUUGUCUUCAAUGCUAAGCUUGUUCACGAGGAUGUGUGAUGUGGAUAAUAACACGUACCUCGUUAAUUAAAUGAGCAAUUACACACAAAAAACUUAAAAAGUUGCAGAGAAUGUGGGAAGGCCUCCAUCAAUUAUCAUUUUUCUCCAUGGAGCUCCAUUGAGAGACAUAAUGCACUGUAAAGUGCUUGGCUUUGGAGAAAGACAGAGCUGGGUUCCAAGUCCUGCCUCUGCCGUUGCCCUGCUGCAUAACUUUGGGCAAGAUGCUUAGCUUCUCAAUGCCCAAUUUUCUCAUCAACAAAAUGGAGCCACUGAUAUUUACAGCAUUAUCCCAAGGCAUAGAAAUGAUGCAUCCGAAGACCCUGACCCAUGGCGCUGGGAAAAUAGGUUUGGAGUUUGAUGAGCUGCCUGCUGCUGGCUCCUCUGUUUUCUGGCAUCAAGGUUCCUCAAUAGUGGACUCAACAGUUGCAUUUUUCACCUACAAAAGAAUUGCUAUCAGAAAACCAGACAGCGGAUAAUUGUAUUUUGUGAAUUGACAGUGAAGCCACUCGGUUUCAGCCCAGGUCCAAAGGCUGAGGAUGUUCACCCAGGAGAAAUGGCAGAAGGUUCAGAAUCCCUAACAGCUCUGGCGACCCCUGCUGUGUCAGUGUGAAUGCAAGAUGCCCAGUAAGACUGGAGGCUCCAGCUUCAACCAGAGCCUCAUCCAUCUCUUCAAACCUACCAGGGAAGGAAAUAAAAAUAUGUGCCCAUAAAUUUCCUCCUUGACGGGCAGCAAAUGCGCUGGCCUCCUGCCACCUGACAGUGAAACGUGAAGCUGGGGAGUGUCUCCCUGCAAGCGCACCUAGGGCUGCUCCUGCCCCCUUCUGGAGCAGGAUCAAAAUGCUUCCCAAGAAGUGCGCCAGCUGCCCUUGUGGGCCAGGCCCAGCCAUCCAAAGCUGCCGAAGAGCAACUUGGCUUCCUUUCCCUUCUCCCACUUGGACCACCAGGAUGCCUCUGCAGUUUUUUGGACUCCUGUUUUGACCAGUUAUCCCAAUUAACUUGAGCAAGAUAGAAGGAGAGACCUAUACCCCCCUCUUUGUCCGAGAAAAAAUGCACCAAGGGAGAGAGAAUGAAGACAAGCCUAUGAAUCUGUUCCCUGCACACAUCGAACUCAUUCCUAUCUCUGCGCAUGCUGUUCAACCCACUGGGAACACGCUUUCUUCUCCCAUCAGCACCCAUUUACCUAAAUUUUAUUCAUUCUUCAAGACUCCUUAAAUCCCGUCUGCUUCAUGAAGAUUUUUUAUCUGUGAGUUCACUCCCUCC